CUCUCACUUCCAUUUUCACCUCCUUUCCUGAAGCAGGUGUCCAGUUCCUGGAGCAGAGUUCCUCAGGCAGCAGAGCUGCUCAGCCUAGUUCUGAUCGUGAUGAACCGGACCCUGAAGAGUCUGAUCAGUGUUCAGAGUAAACACUGUCAGUUCAGAGGAUGAGAUCCAAACUGUUAUGCUAUCCUGCUAUUUUAUUAAAAACAUCUGAUAACAAAACUA
Long non-coding RNA from Oryzias melastigma (Indian medaka), 219 nucleotides. RefSeq lists it as uncharacterized. The transcript has 2 exons. Lineage: Eukaryota; Metazoa; Chordata; Actinopteri; Beloniformes; Adrianichthyidae. The record is from RefSeq and is a predicted model, not a curated record.